Molecule: ribosomal RNA, 253 nt
Filed under: uncultured bacterium
Lineage: Bacteria
Description: partial 16S ribosomal RNA
Rfam family: Bacterial small subunit ribosomal RNA
Source: RNAcentral
UACGGAGGGUGCGAGCGUUGUCCGGAAUCAUUGGGCGUAAAGGGCGCGUAGGUGGCCCGGUCAGUCCGUGGUGAAAGCGCGGGGCUCAACCCCGCGUCGGCCAUGGAUACUGCUGGGCUUGAGCACUGUAGAGGCAGGCGGAAUUCCGGGUGUAGCGGUGGAAUGCGCAGAUAUCAGGAGGAACACCAAUGGCGAAGGCAGCUCGCUGGAACGGUACUGACGCUGAGGCGCGAAAGCGUGGGGAGCGAACAGG